CCUACGGGUGGCAGCAGUGAGGAAUAUUGGUCAAUGGACGAGAGUCUGAACCAGCCAAGUAGCGUGAAGGAUGACUGCCCUAUGGGUUGUAAACUUCUUUUAUAUGGGAAUAAAAUGCUCCACGUGUGGGAUUUUGUAUGUACCAUAUGAAUAAGGAUCGGCUAACUCCGUGCCAGCAGCCGCGGUAAUCCGGAGGAUCCGAGCGUUAUCCGGAUUUAUUGGGUUUAAAGGGAGCGUAGGUGGAUUGUUAAGUCAGUUGUGAAAGUUUGGGGCUCAACCUUAAAAUUGCAGUUGAAACUGGCAGUCUAGAGUACAGUAGAGGUAGGCGGAAUUCGUGGUGUAGCGGUGAAAUGCUUAGAUAUCACGAAGAACUCCGAUUGCGAAGGCAGUACACUGGACUGCAACUGACGCUGAGGCUCGAAAGUGUGGGUAUCAAACAGGAUUAGAUACCCGAGUAGUC
This 460-nucleotide ribosomal RNA is filed under the name uncultured bacterium. Its description in RNAcentral is "partial 16S ribosomal RNA". It matches the Rfam family "Bacterial small subunit ribosomal RNA", at positions 338 to 795 of the family's 1533-position model. The record is from RNAcentral.